This 379-nucleotide ribosomal RNA is filed under the name Pristurus rupestris rupestris. RNAcentral describes it as "partial 12S ribosomal RNA". It matches the Rfam family "Bacterial small subunit ribosomal RNA", at positions 833 to 1382 of the family's 1533-position model. The record is from RNAcentral. Lineage: Eukaryota; Metazoa; Chordata; Lepidosauria; Squamata; Sphaerodactylidae.
UUAGAUGUAACCGCCGAUUGCCACACCACCAGCAAUCCGCCAGAGGACUACAAGUGAAAACUUAAAACUCUAAGGACUUGACGGUGUCCCACCCAUACUAGAGGAGCCUGUCCUAUAAUCGACACCCCACGUUACACCUUACCCCCCCUAGCCAUCCAACCUAUAUACCGCCGUCGCCAGCUCACACGGUGACUGCACCACCGUAAGCAAAAUCAUCAAACAUUAAAACGACAGGUCAAGGUGUAGUUAAUGGGGGGGACAGUGAUGGGCUACAUUUUCUUCAUAAGAAAAUACCACCCGCAACAUGAAACCUUGCCCAAAGGCGGAUUUAGAAGUAAGCUUCGGCAAGACAUGCCAACCUGAAAAAGCCCUGGGACGC